GACGAACGCUGGCGGCGUGCUUAACACAUGCAAGUCGAACGGAAAGGCCCUGCUUUUGUGGGGUGCUCGAGUGGCGAACGGGUGAGUAACACGUGAGUAACCUGCCCUUGACUUUGGGAUAACUUCAGGAAACUGGGGCUAAUACCGGAUAGGAGCUCCUGCUGCAUGGUGGGGGUUGGAAAGUUUCGGCGGUUGGGGAUGGACUCGCGGCUUAUCAGCUUGUUGGUGGGGUAGUGGCUUACCAAGGCUUUGACGGGUAGCCGGCCUGAGAGGGCGACCGGCCACAUUGGGACUGAGAUACGGCCCAGACUCCUACGGGAGGCAGCAGUGGGGAAUAUUGCACAAUGGGCGGAAGCCUGAUGCAGCAACGCCGCGUGCGGGAUGACGGCCUUCGGGUUGUAAACCGCUUUCGCCUGUGACGAAGCGUGAGUGACGGUAAUGGGUAAAGAGGCACCGGCUAACUACGUGCCAGCAGCCGCGGUGAUACGUAGGGUGCGAGCGUUGUCCGGAUUUAUUGGGCGUAAAGGGCUCGUAGGUGGUUGAUCGCGUCGGAAGUGUAAUCUUGGGGCUUAACCCUGAGCGUGCUUUCGAUACGGGUUGACUUGAGGAAGGUAGGGGAGAAUGGAAUUCCUGGUGGAGCGGUGGAAUGCGCAGAUAUCAGGAGGAACACCAGUGGCGAAGGCGGUUCUCUGGGCCUUUCCUGACGCUGAGGAGCGAAAGCGUGGGGAGCGAACAGGCUUAGAUACCCUGGUAGUCCACGCUGUAAACGGUGGGUACUAGGUGUGGGGUCCAUUCCACGGGUUCCGUGCCGUAGCUAACGCUUUAAGUACCCCGCCUGGGGAGUACGGCCGCAAGGCUAAAACUCAAAGGAAUUGACGGGGCCCCGCACAAGCGGCGGAGCAUGCGGAUUAAUUCGAUGCAACGCGUAGAACCUUACCUGGGUUUGACAUGGAUCGGGAGCGCUCAGAGAUGGGUGUGCCUCUUUUGGGGUCGGUUCACAGGUGGUGCAUGGCUGUCGUCAGCUCGUGUCGUGAGAUGUUGGGUUAAGUCCCGCAACGAGCGCAACCCUUGUUCACUGUUGCCAGCACGUUAUGGUGGGGACUCAGUGGAGACCGCCGGGGUCAACUCGGGGGAAGGUGGGGAUGACGUCAAGUCAUCAUGCCCCCUAUGUCCAGGGCUUCACGCAUGCUACAAUGGCUGGUACAGAGAGUGGCGAGCCUGUGAGGGUGAGCGAAUCUCGGAAAGCCGGUCUCAGUUCGGAUUGGGGUCUGCAACUCGACCUCAUGAAGUCGGAGUCGCUAGUAAUCGCAGAUCAGCAACGCUGCGGUGAAUACGUUCCCGGG
This 1343-nucleotide ribosomal RNA is filed under the name uncultured bacterium. RNAcentral's name for it is "16S ribosomal RNA". It matches the Rfam family "Bacterial small subunit ribosomal RNA", at positions 28 to 1378 of the family's 1533-position model. The record is from RNAcentral.